This 591-nucleotide unclassified non-coding RNA is filed under the name Bombus terrestris (buff-tailed bumblebee). Its description in RNAcentral is "misc RNA ENSBTSG00005036889.1". Lineage: Eukaryota; Metazoa; Arthropoda; Insecta; Hymenoptera; Apidae. The record is from RNAcentral.
CUUUAAAUAAUUCGUAUUAAUCUCUCUGAUCGAACGUUAAGUUUGCGACAACUUCGUAUUUUAAUAUACAUAUCUGACAGGUAUCUUACAUCACAAUGUUUUAUAACUUUCCAAAUGCAGAAGACGCCUUAUUAAGAUCCUUAUAAUUCUUUUUCUUCCAGAGAACAAAAAGUUUUUAUGCAGAAUUUUACGAUUCUGACGACAGAGUAAACUUCAUACCAUUAUCACACAAGCUGAUCUUCUAAAAGACUAACUGUGUUGUAAAGAUUUUUAAUUUUUAUGUUCAAAAAAAUUCGGUUAUGUGUGUAAUGUUCCUUGGAGCUAAUAGAAAUAACUCUAAGAGAUUUGCUUCUUUUUGGUUUAUGGCUCAAACGGCUAGUGGAUGGAUUUGUAACCUUGGGAAGCGGGGAUUCCACUGUCCACACCUAUAAUAUCUUGGCCAUGCCUAAAUAAGCCUGUUUCUAUGUGAUAAAUGGACUUAUCCAUAGGAUAACAUAAAAACACUGGUAUUGCAUUAAUUGCAUAACGAACAACUCGUGGGACCCGCAUAUUAAGAAAUCCUGAUCUGUUAGAAAUUUAAUUGUACAAAAA